RNAcentral lists this ribosomal RNA (460 nucleotides) under uncultured bacterium. RNAcentral's name for it is "partial 16S ribosomal RNA". It matches the Rfam family "Bacterial small subunit ribosomal RNA", at positions 338 to 795 of the family's 1533-position model. The record is from RNAcentral.
CCUACGGGCGGCAGCAGUGAGGAAUAUUGGUCAAUGGCCGGAAGGCUGAACCAGCCAUGCCGCGUGAAGGUCAGUGCCCUAUGGGCGUUAAACUUCUUUUGUGCGGGAGCAAUAAUGGUCACGUGUGGCCAGACGAGAGUACCGUACGAAUAAGCAUCGGCUAACUCCGUUCCAGCAGCCGCGGUAAUACGGGGGAUGCAAGCGGUAUCCGGAUUUAUUGGGUUUAAAGGGUGCGUAGGCUGGGAGGUAAGUCAGCGGUGAAAUGCCCCCGCUCAACGGGGUGAAGUGCCAUUGAUACUGCCUUGCUUGAAUGCGGAUGCCGUGGGAGGAAUGUGUGGUGUAGCGGUGAAAUGCAUAGAUAUCACACAGAACACCGAUUGCGAAGGCAUCUCACGAAUCCGCGAUUGACGCUGAUGCACGAAGGCGUGGGUAUCAAACAGGAUUAGAUACCCUAGUAGUC